RNAcentral lists this long non-coding RNA (980 nucleotides) under Homo sapiens (human). RNAcentral describes it as "HSALNT0188209". The record is from RNAcentral. Lineage: Eukaryota; Metazoa; Chordata; Mammalia; Primates; Hominidae.
AAAGAACCUUCUGAGGGCCACAUUCCCAGGAGUUAGUCAAGGGUCACUCAUGGUUCCCUUGAAGACAUAGGAGGGAGCCACCGGACUUGCUGUGUUAACUCUUUCCUCACAAUAUGUAGAGCAGAACCAAAUCUGGCUAGAAUUUGAAAAAGGGAUUUCACUGCCACAAAAUCACUUAUGUGGUAGAGGUUAAAGAUGGCUUUGCCAUCUGGAGGCCGAUCACAGGUGAACUAAGAAAGCCUUCCUGUUGUGGGCCUCUGGUUGAAGACAAAGGGUUUCACUAUGCUGUCCAGAUUAGUCUCAAGCUCCUGGGCUCAAGUACUGCUAUUGCCUAAGCCUCUGGAGUAGCUAGGACUACAGGUAUGUCACCACGACCAGCUGGUAUCAUUUUUUUCUAAAAAAUAGCACAUUUGAAAGUGUAUGGAUUUUGUUAGAACUCGUCUGACACAUAACCCUACCCUCUUUCCAAUGAGCAUGUUAGUUGCAUAUGGUAGGUGUUCAGUUAGAGCUUGCCUAUGAAUACUUGAAAAUUCCACAAGUCAUUCUUCAAUUGAUUUGUUGCAAAUUCUGCUGCCUUUCCUAAUCCUUCUCAUUUGACCAUCAUUAGUAACUGCAUAUUAAGUUUCUUGGAGACGUUUCCUGACUUUGGAACUACCAUCAGGCAUACUUGACUAUCCCAAGGUGUGGUCUUUUCUGUUUCAGCUCUGGUUAUUUCAUUUCACAAGCCUCAAGCUUUUCGGACUUAUCAGUAGGCCAUACCUAAACUAGCCUGUGUAUCUUAGUAACCUUCCCACUUCCACUGUUGCUCAAGUAAAACCAUGCUGUUACACGCACCAGCUUGUCCAUUAAUUCCUCUUUUCCUGUGACUUUUUCACCAAACUGAACAUAUCCCAACUUCUUUCCAGGCCACUUGAUUGCUCCUGGAGUUUGUGCAUCAUUAUCACCCGAGUGGCCUUCUUAAGUAAAAAACCAGAUCCUGG